Molecule: long non-coding RNA, 1129 nt
Filed under: Capra hircus (goat)
Lineage: Eukaryota; Metazoa; Chordata; Mammalia; Artiodactyla; Bovidae
Description: lncRNA (ENSCHIG00000007212.1)
Source: RNAcentral
AUGGCUCCGCGCAAAGGUCAGGCUGGGUGCCCAGGUGGUGGUCCCCGCACUUGGGGAGUGUCGCACCCCAGGCCCCCGGCCGCGACACCUGCCAUCCCCCGCCGCAGGCUUCCGAGCCCCAGGGGCGCGGAGCGCGCUCAGCCCGCACUCGCGCAGCGCCUUUUGCGAAUGAGCGGCGAGGGGAGGAGGGGGGGUGGUUUUCCUGUUGUGUCCUCUUGCUCUAUCGUCCACGAUCACGCAGCCAGAAGACGCCAAGGGGAGUUUGUUCAACUCCCGCCAACAACCGCCGUUCGGGUUACGACUCAUUUACUCCUCGAAACUCUGCGUUCCCGGGUGCACAGGAGCGGAGAAGCCUUUGUUCGGCUGACAAAGACCUGGACGCCCGCCUGCCAGGACAGUCCAGGAGGAGUGGGGUCCCCGCACCCCUCUACAGGGACCCCUCACAACCGAGCCUGCUCGGCCGGGUCUCAGGCUGCUGGCCUGGGACAUGACGAUGACCUGUCCACCCUGCUGACUUCAUCGUGGACUGAAGCCCAGAUUCUGCAGAAGGAGAACCGUCCUAGCCUAUGAGGUUCGCCCGGGGUGGGUCAGACAGGAUGUGGGUGAGUGCAGUGGUCCUGACCAUUCCCCUUGGAGCAGUGGGGCCCCCCUAAGACAGCACUUUGCACCUUGGUAGCUUUCAAUUAUUGAUGUCAUCAGAGAAUCUCAGUUGGGGAGUUUCAGAGCUGGGGUGGUUAGAGGGAGGGUGAGGUGGGGUCUUGUGGGUGAAGCCAUCUAGACUCCAGGGUUUCGGUGUCUGUGACCAACAGGUUUUAUUAAGUUCCUGCCAUGGGUCCAAUAUUACACUUGGCACACUGUGGAGGGGGGGUGCAGGGUGAUGGGGGGAAGCCCCCAUGCUUGUUCCAGCUUCUGUGUUCCCAGAGGAGGUGCCCCCCACCCCCACGAGCCUCCUAGUCACAACUGGACACAAACAGCCCCACCAUCUGCCCGGAACCGCCCUGACAGGCCUGCCUGCGUCGCGCAUCCGCGGCUUCUUCUCGUGUCUGGCCCGGUGAAGCGGCAGCUGCCCGGCUGCAGCGUUGCCUGUGCGUACCGGUGAGUGAGGGACUGGUGAGGGGCCGGUGUUUCU